Molecule: non-coding RNA, 65 nt
Organism: Oryza meridionalis
Lineage: Eukaryota; Viridiplantae; Streptophyta; Magnoliopsida; Poales; Poaceae
Source: Rfam
UGGCACUCCUACCUCCGCCCACUCGACCGCUACGCGGCAGCCGAGCGAGGGCCUCGGGGCGGCGC